This 22-nucleotide small nuclear RNA is filed under the name Arabidopsis thaliana (thale cress). RNAcentral describes it as "snRNA_09455". The record is from RNAcentral. Lineage: Eukaryota; Viridiplantae; Streptophyta; Magnoliopsida; Brassicales; Brassicaceae.
UGAAAACUCACGAGAUUUAAAU